This 128-nucleotide non-coding RNA is filed under the name Foraminifera environmental sample. The record is from RNAcentral. Lineage: Eukaryota; Foraminifera.
UGUAUAAUAAUUAUGAACAGAUGGAUAAAAGGGACAGAGUGCGAAAUACAUCAAAAAAAGUAUUCUUUUGUCAUUUCUUUUUUUUCCCUUUGCAUUUCAUCGAUGCCUCUUUAAUGUUUUGAUCUGCG